RNAcentral lists this ribosomal RNA (253 nucleotides) under uncultured bacterium. RNAcentral's name for it is "partial 16S ribosomal RNA". It matches the Rfam family "Bacterial small subunit ribosomal RNA", at positions 524 to 776 of the family's 1533-position model. The record is from RNAcentral.
UACAGAGGUCUCAAGCGUUGUUCGGAUUCAUUGGGCGUAAAGGGUGUGUAGGCGGCGCCGUAAGUCGGGUGUGAAAUUUCGGAGCUUAACUCCGAAACUGCAUUCGAUACUGCGGUGCUUGAGGACUGGAGAGGAGACUGGAAUUCAUGGUGUAGCAGUGAAAUGCGCAGAUAUCAGGAGGAACGCCGGUGGCGAAAGCGACUCUCUGGGCCGUUCCUGACACUAAAGCGCGAGAGCUAGGGGAGCAAACAGG